GAGAAAUUCCAUAAAAACCUCCUUGAACUAACAAUCUCACUCCAUCUUUUACACACAGAACCUGCUCUAAAGAUGCUAGCAAUAGGAAGAAAUGCUAGAAUCCGUUCCAACAGAUCAUCAGGCAGGAUUAAAUCCAAAGAAACUGCAUUAAUUUCUUUACUGCCUUCAUCACUAAGCUCUGAGAAUGAAUCAAACUCACCAAUGCCUCUUGCUACAUCAUCAAAGCAAUCAUUGAUCCAUGAUGUUUCUCCCUCCAUGAUGAAGGAGAGUGAAGAACAGGCCUCGUUUUAAGCCACCUCCAGGGACAGUACCCAAGUGGGUGAGGCUAGAUUUAUAGAGGACGAGAAAUGGCGAAAAGAGAAACAGAAUAUAAUGAUUAAAAAAAAAAAAAACUCCAAACUCGCUAUUAGAGGAAAGUAUUAAAGAACAUAGAGACCAAAACGAAAUGGGCUAUGGUGAAGAUAUUUUCUUCAAAUGGUAGAUAACUUUGACAUGGUCAGUCCAGAAUUGGCUGGUAAACAAAGCCUAAGCAACCCAUUUGAGAGAAAGAGA
RNAcentral lists this unclassified non-coding RNA (552 nucleotides) under Hevea brasiliensis (rubber tree). The record is from RNAcentral. Lineage: Eukaryota; Viridiplantae; Streptophyta; Magnoliopsida; Malpighiales; Euphorbiaceae.